This 2196-nucleotide ribosomal RNA is filed under the name Campylobacter coli. RNAcentral's name for it is "partial 23S ribosomal RNA". It matches the Rfam family "Bacterial large subunit ribosomal RNA", at positions 12 to 2063 of the family's 2925-position model. The record is from RNAcentral. Lineage: Bacteria; Pseudomonadati; Campylobacterota; Epsilonproteobacteria; Campylobacterales; Campylobacteraceae.
UAAGAGCGAAUGGUGGAUGCCUUGACUGGUAAAGGCGAUGAAGGACGUACUAGACUGCGAUAAGCUACGGGGAGCUGUCAAGAAGCUUUGAUCCGUAGAUUUCCGAAUGGGGCAACCCAAUGUAUAGAGAUAUACAUUACCUAUAUAGGAGCGAACGAGGGGAAUUGAAACAUCUUAGUACCCUCAGGAAAAGAAAUCAAUAGAGAUUGCGUCAGUAGCGGCGAGCGAAAGCGCAAGAGGGCAAACCCAGUGCUUGCACUGGGGGUUGUAGGACUGCAAUGUGCAAGAGGUGAGUUUAGCAGAACAUUCUGGAAAGUAUAGCCAUAGAGGGUGAUAGUCCCGUAUGCGAAAAACAAACCUUAGCUAGCAGUAUCCUGAGUAGGGCGGGACACGAGAAAUCCUGUCUGAAGCUGGGUCGACCACGAUCCAACCCUAAAUACUAAUACCAGAUCGAUAGUGCACAAGUACCGUGAGGGAAAGGUGAAAAGAACUGAGGUGAUCAGAGUGAAAUAGAACCUGAAACCAUUUGCUUACAAUCAUUCAGAGCCCUAUGUAGCAAUACAGGGUGAUGGACUGCCUUUUGCAUAAUGAGCCUGCGAGUUGUGGUGUCUGGCAAGGUUAAGCAAACGCGAAGCCGUAGCGAAAGCGAGUCUGAAUAGGGCGCUUAGUCAGAUGCUGCAGACCCGAAACGAAGUGAUCUAUCCAUGAGCAAGUUGAAGCUAGUGUAAGAACUAGUGGAGGACUGAACCCAUAGGCGUUGAAAAGCCCCGGGAUGACUUGUGGAUAGGGGUGAAAGGCCAAUCAAACUUCGUGAUAGCUGGUUCUCUCCGAAAUAUAUUUAGGUAUAGCGUUGUGUCGUAAUAUAAGGGGGUAGAGCACUGAAUGGGCUAGGGCAUACACCAAUGUACCAAACCCUAUCAAACUCCGAAUACCUUAUAUGUAAUCACAGCAGUCAGGCGGCGAGUGAUAAAAUCCGUCGUCAAGAGGGAAACAACCCAGACUACCAGCUAAGGUCCCUAAAUCUUACUUAAGUGGAAAACGAUGUGAAGUUACUUAAACAACCAGGAGGUUGGCUUAGAAGCAGCCAUCCUUUAAAGAAAGCGUAAUAGCUCACUGGUCUAGUGAUUUUGCGCGGAAAAUAUAACGGGGCUAAAGUAAGUACCGAAGCUGUAGACUUGCGCACAACUUAGAUUAUUUAAGUUUAGAAUAUGAGAAACUAAGUUAUAUGUUUAGUUAUAUUUUUACUGAUUUUUAUAGAGUAAAGAUAGAAAUAAAACUUAGUAAAAUCAGUAAAAAUAUUCUUAGACUAAAGUUAAGUAGUUUAAGUUGUGUGCAAGUGGUAGGAGAGCGUUCUAUUUGCGUCGAAGGUAUACCGGUAAGGAGUGCUGGAGCGAAUAGAAGUGAGCAUGCAGGCAUGAGUAGCGAUAAUUAAUGUGAGAAUCAUUAACGCCGUAAACCCAAGGUUUCCUACGCGAUGCUCGUCAUCGUAGGGUUAGUCGGGUCCUAAGUCGAGUCCGAAAGGGGUAGACGAUGGCAAAUUGGUUAAUAUUCCAAUACCAACAUUAGUGUGCGAUGGAAGGACGCUUAGGGCUAAGGGGGCUAGCGGAUGGAAGUGCUAGUCUAAGGUCGUAGGAGGUUAUACAGGCAAAUCCGUAUAACAAUACUCCGAGAACUGAAAGGCUUUUUGAAGUCUUCGGAUGGAUAGAAGAACCCCUGAUGCCGUCGAGCCAAGAAAAGUUUCUAAGUUUAGCUAAUGUUGCCCGUACCGUAAACCGACACAGGUGGGUGGGAUGAGUAUUCUAAGGCGCGUGGAAGAACUCUCUUUAAGGAACUCUGCAAAAUAGCACCGUAUCUUCGGUAUAAGGUGUGGUUCGCUUCGUAUUAGGAUUUACUCCGAAAGCGAAGAAACUUACAACAAAGAGUCCCUCCCGACUGUUUACCAAAAACACAGCACUCUGCUAACUCGUAAGAGGAUGUAUAGGGUGUGACGCCUGCCCGGUGCUCGAAGGUUAAUUGAUGGGGUUAGCAUUAGCGAAGCUCUUGAUCGAAGCCCGAGUAAACGGCGGCCGUAACUAUAACGGUCCUAAGGUAGCGAAAUUCCUUGUCGGUUAAAUACCGACCUGCAUGAAUGGCGUAACGAGAUGGGAGCUGUCUCAAAGAGGGAUCCAGUGAAAUUGUAGUGGAGGUGAAAAUUCC